GGACGAACGCUGGCGGCGUGCUUAACACAUGCAAGUCGAACGGUGAAGGGACUGGUUUUGCUGGUCCUGGAUGAGUGGCGAACGGGUGAGUAACACGUGAGUAACCUGCCCCCUUCUUCUGGAUAACCGCAUGAAAGUGUGGCUAAUACGGGAUAUUCUGGGUCUGUCGCAUGGUGGGCCUGGGAAAGGUUUUUUUCCGGUGGGGGAUGGGCUCGCGGCCUAUCAGCUUGUUGGUGGGGUGAUGGCCUACCAAGGCGGUGACGGGUAGCCGGCCUGAGAGGGUGGACGGUCACACUGGGACUGAGACACGGCCCAGACUCCUACGGGAGGCAGCAGUGGGGAAUAUUGCACAAUGGGCGCAAGCCUGAUGCAGCGACGCCGCGUGAGGGAUGGAGGCCUUCGGGUUGUGAACCUCUUUCGCCAGUGAAGCAGGCCUGCUCCUUUUUUGUGGGUGGGUUGACGGUAGCUGGAUAAGAAGCGCCGGCUAACUAC
RNAcentral lists this ribosomal RNA (492 nucleotides) under Actinomyces sp. 'ARUP UnID 58'. Its description in RNAcentral is "bacterial SSU rRNA". It matches the Rfam family "Bacterial small subunit ribosomal RNA", at positions 27 to 504 of the family's 1533-position model. Lineage: Bacteria; Bacillati; Actinomycetota; Actinomycetes; Actinomycetales; Actinomycetaceae. The record is from RNAcentral.